UUCCGGUUGAUCCUGCCGGACCUGACUGCUAUCGGAUUGAUACUAAGCCAUGCGAGUCUUUGUAGUAAUACAAGGCAUACGGCUCAGUAACACGUAGUCAACUUACCCUAUGGACGAGGAUAAUCUCGGGAAACUGAGCAUAAUACUCGAUAGAUCAUAAUGCCUGGAAUGGUUUAUGGUUAAAAUGAUUCGUCGCCAUAGGAUGGGACUGCGGCCUAUCAGCUUGUUGGUGAGGUAAUGGCCCACCAAGGCGAUUACAGGUACGGGCUCUGAGAGGAGAAGCCCGGAGAUGGGUACUGAGACACGGACCCAGGCCCUAUGGGGCGCAGCAGGCGAGAAAACUUUGCAAUGUGCGAAAGCACGACAAGGUUAAUCCGAGUGAUUUCUGCUAAAGAAAUCUUUUGCCAGUCAUAAAACCACUGGUGAAUAAGGGGUGGGCAAGUUCUGGUGUCAGCCGCCGCGGUAAAACCAGCACCUCAAGUGGUCAGGAUGAUUAUUGGGCCUAAAGCAUCCGUAGCCGGCUUUGUUAGUUUUCGGUUAAAUCCAUGUGCUCAACGCAUGGGCUGCCGAAAAUACUGCAUAGCUAGGGAGUGGGAGAGGUAGACGGUACUCAGUAGGAAGGGGUAAAAUCCUUUGAUCUAUUGAUGACCACCUGUGGCGAAGGCGGUCUACCAGAACACGUUCGACGGUGAGGGAUGAAAGCUGGGGGAGCAAACCGGAUUAGAUACCCGGGUAGUCCCAGCUGUAAACGAUGCAGACUCGAUGAUGCAUUGGCAUAAUAGCCAGUGCAGUGUCGCAGGGAAGCCGUUAAGUCUGCCGCCUGGGAAGUACGUACGCAAGUAUGAAACUUAAAGGAAUUGGCGGGGGAGCACCACAAGGGGUGAAGCCUGCGGUUCAAUUGGAUUCAACGCCGGG
This 915-nucleotide ribosomal RNA is filed under the name uncultured marine archaeon. Its description in RNAcentral is "bacterial SSU rRNA". It matches the Rfam family "Archaeal small subunit ribosomal RNA", at positions 1 to 922 of the family's 1478-position model. The record is from RNAcentral.